Astyanax mexicanus (Mexican tetra) is the source of this 119-nucleotide ribosomal RNA. NCBI's taxonomy places the organism in Eukaryota, Metazoa, Chordata, Actinopteri, Characiformes, Acestrorhamphidae. The record is from Ensembl.
GCUUACGGCCACACCACCCUGAGAACGCCCGAUCUCGUCUGAUCUCGGAAGCUAAGCAGGGUCGGGCCUGGUUAGUACUUGGAUGGGAGACCGCCUGGGAAUACCAGGUGCUGUAAGCU